AUACGGAGGGUGCAAGCGUUGUUCGGAAUUAUUGGGCGUAAAGCGCGUGUAGGCGGUUUGUUAAGUCUGAUGUGAAAGCCCCGGGCUCAACCUGGGAAGUGCAUUGGAAACUGGCAAACUUGAGUACGGGAGAGGAAAGUGGAAUUUCGAGUGUAGGGGUGAAAUCCGUAGAUAUUCGAAGGAACACCAGUGGCGAAGGCGACUUACUGGACUGUAACUGACGCUGAGUCACGAAAGCGUGGGUAGCAAACAGGAUUAGAUACCCUGGUAGUCCACGCUGUAAACGAUGAGUGCUAGGCGUUGCGGGUAUUGACCCCUGCAGUGCCGAAGCUAACGCAUUAAGUACCCCGCCUGGGGAGUACGGCCGCAAGGCUAAA
Molecule: ribosomal RNA, 377 nt
Filed under: uncultured bacterium
Lineage: Bacteria
Description: bacterial SSU rRNA
Rfam family: Bacterial small subunit ribosomal RNA
Source: RNAcentral